CCUACGGGAGGCAGCAGUGAGGAAUAUUGGUCAAUGGGCGCGAGCCUGAACCAGCCAAGUAGCGUGAAGGAUGACGGCCCUACGGGGUGUAAACUUCUGUUAUAAAGGAAUAAAGUGAGGCACGUGGGCCUUAUUGUAUGUACCUUAUGAAUAAGGAACGGCUAACUCCGUGCCAGCAGCCGCGGUAAUACGGAGGUUCCGUGCGUUAUCCGGAUUUAUUGGGGUUAAAGGGAGCGUAGAGGGGUUGUUAAGUCAGUUGUGAAAGUUUGCGGCUCAACCGUAAAAUUGCAAUUGAUACUGGCAGCCUUGAGUACAGUUGAGGUAGGCGGAAUUCGUGGUGUAGCGG
Molecule: ribosomal RNA, 346 nt
Filed under: uncultured bacterium
Lineage: Bacteria
Description: partial 16S ribosomal RNA
Rfam family: Bacterial small subunit ribosomal RNA
Source: RNAcentral